Molecule: long non-coding RNA, 245 nt
Filed under: Cercocebus atys (sooty mangabey)
Lineage: Eukaryota; Metazoa; Chordata; Mammalia; Primates; Cercopithecidae
Description: lncRNA (ENSCATG00000045856.1)
Source: RNAcentral
UGGUUGCAUCUCUGUUUUUGUUCUUAGGGUCGCUAAAGAAGCCAGAGUGGAGGCUGCAGGGAAUAUGGAUUUAAAUGAAUUUUGGCUGUACCAUCAAGCAGUCUGAUCACUGAGGAAAUAUCAAAAGCUUCACCCGAGUGACUCAUCACCCAAAUUCAACAGAGAUUGAUGUGUCCAUCUGUCAACCUGAAGAAGUAAAAGGACUGUGCAUCUAUAAUAUGUGUGUGACUAUUCGACAACUCUAA